GUCUGACAGCAGCACCAACUCCAGGUCCACGUGUGCUCCUUGCACCGACCCCUCCACCCAUGCCUCCACGUCCAAUAGUUCCACUGGUCAUUGAACCACUGUCUGAUGUCUCUGGCUCCAUAUAGAAACGAGCUCGGAAUGCUGCAAGGUGGGCAUAGUAUGCUGGGGGAACUGCAACAUACAACAGAAACCUCACACAACAUUGCAUAAAAAAUAGUUGGGAAAAAGAAAAAGCAAGAUUGUGCAUCUGCAUUUGUGUGCAUGCACUCGAAUACGAGAAUGCGGGCAAGAGAGAGAGCUUACCAAUGGAAACAGAACGAGUGCACCUAGCAUAUCUGCAAUAAUACAGCAUAGCAGCGACUCAAUGUCACAAUCUUAGGCUAAAAAUCAAUAAGGUGAUAAAUUUUCAACCUAAAAACCUAGGAAACCAUGACAACCAGCAGAUUAUUA
This 450-nucleotide long non-coding RNA is filed under the name Citrus sinensis (sweet orange). Its description in RNAcentral is "long non-coding RNA (CSIN_LNC002104)". Lineage: Eukaryota; Viridiplantae; Streptophyta; Magnoliopsida; Sapindales; Rutaceae. The record is from RNAcentral.